This 497-nucleotide ribosomal RNA is filed under the name uncultured bacterium. RNAcentral describes it as "partial 16S ribosomal RNA". It matches the Rfam family "Bacterial small subunit ribosomal RNA", at positions 28 to 507 of the family's 1533-position model. The record is from RNAcentral.
GAUGAACGCUGGCGGCGUGCCUAAUACAUGCAAGUCGAGCGAACGGACGAGAAGCUUGCUUCUCUGAUGUUAGCGGCGGACGGGUGAGUAACACGUGGAUAACCUACCUAUAAGACUGGGAUAACUUCGGGAAACCGGAGCUAAUACCGGAUGAUAUUUUGAACCGCAUGGUUCAAAAGUGAAAGACGGUCUUGCUGUCACUUAUAGAUGGAUCCGCGCUGCAUUAGCUAGUUGGUAAGGUAACGGCUUACCAAGGCAACGAUGCAUAGCCGACCUGAGAGGGGGAUAGGCCACACUGGAACUGAGACACGGUCCAGACUCCUACGGGAGGCAGCAGUAGGGAAUCUUCCGCAAUGGGCGAAAGCCUGACGGAGCAACGCCGCGUGAGUGAUGAAGGUCUUCGGAUCGUAAAACUCUGUUAUUAGGGAAGAACAGAUGUGUAAGUAACUGUGCACAUCUUGACGGUACCUAAUCAGAAAGCAACGGCUAACUACGUG